GGCCUAUUCGUCUAACGGUCAGGACGCAAGAUUCUCAUUCUUGAAAUAGGAGUUCGAUUCUCCUAUAGGCUG
This 72-nucleotide transfer RNA is filed under the name Bacteroidales bacterium. RNAcentral's name for it is "tRNA-Glu". It matches the Rfam family "tRNA". From Rfam's summary of the family: Transfer RNA (tRNA) molecules are approximately 80 nucleotides in length. Their secondary structure includes four short double-helical elements and three loops (D, anti-codon, and T loops). Lineage: Bacteria; Pseudomonadati; Bacteroidota; Bacteroidia; Bacteroidales. The record is from RNAcentral.